RNAcentral lists this ribosomal RNA (501 nucleotides) under uncultured bacterium. Its description in RNAcentral is "partial 16S ribosomal RNA". It matches the Rfam family "Bacterial small subunit ribosomal RNA", at positions 29 to 523 of the family's 1533-position model. The record is from RNAcentral.
AUUGAACGCUGGCGGCAGGCCUAACACAUGCAAGUCGAGCGGAUGAGAGGAGCUUGCUCCUCGAUUCAGCGGCGGACGGGUGAGUAAUGCCUAGGAAUCUGCCCAGUAGUGGGGGACAACGUUUCGAAAGGAACGCUAAUACCGCAUACGUCCUACGGGAGAAAGUGGGGGAUCUUCGGACCUCACGCUAUUGGAUGAGCCUAGGUCGGAUUAGCUAGUUGGUAGGGUAAAGGCCUUCCAAGGCGACGAUCCGUAACUGGUCUGAGAGGAUGGUCAGCCCCACUGGAACUCGGAAACGGUCCAGACUCAUACGGGGGGGAGCAGUGGGGGAUAUUGGAGAAGUGGCGGAAGACCGGACCAGCCAGGGCGCGUGUGUGAAGAAGGGCCUCGGGUCGUAAAGCACUUUAGUCGGGGAGGGAGGUAGAGCAGGAUAAGAGCUAGCUUUGCUGACGUUACCCGACGAGUAAGCACCGGCUAACUCCGUGCCAGCCGCCGCCGUAA